UCGUCAGUUCGUACUGUAAAGCGUUCUGUUAAGUCAGAUAACGAACGAGACCCUCAUCUCUAUUUGCUACCCGUCUCUCCGGAGGCGGCGCACUAUAGGGAGACCGCUGGUGUUAAACCAGAGGAAGGCGAGGGCAACGACAGGUCAGUAUGCCCCGAAUGUCCUGGGCUACACGCGCGCUACAAAGGACGGGACAAUGGGAAGCCAGGCCGAGAGGCCGAGCUAACCCGAAACCUGUUCAUAGUUCGGAUUGAGGGCUGUAACUCGCCCUCAUGAAGCUGGAUUCCGUAGUAAUCGUGUUUCAAUAUAGCACGGUGAAUAUGCCCCUGCUCCUUGCACACACCGCCCGUCAAACCAUCUUAGUUGGGGGUGGGUGAGGCUGCGCUUUAUGGCGUAUUCGAGCCUGCCUUCGACAAGGAGGGUUAAGUCGUAACAAGGUAGCC
RNAcentral lists this ribosomal RNA (443 nucleotides) under uncultured archaeon. RNAcentral's name for it is "bacterial SSU rRNA". It matches the Rfam family "Archaeal small subunit ribosomal RNA", at positions 1001 to 1448 of the family's 1478-position model. The record is from RNAcentral.